Molecule: ribosomal RNA, 203 nt
Filed under: uncultured bacterium
Lineage: Bacteria
Description: partial 16S ribosomal RNA
Rfam family: Bacterial small subunit ribosomal RNA
Source: RNAcentral
AUUACUCCUACGGGAGGCAGCAGUCGAGAAUCUUUCGCCAUGCCCGAAAGGGUGACGAAGCGACGCCGCGUGUGGGAAGAAGGCCUUCGGGUUGUAAACCACUGUCGGGAGUUAGGAAAUGCAGGUGCGUUAAUAGCGCACUUGCUUGACUAAGGCUCCAGAGGAAGCCACGGCUAACUCUGUGCCAGCGCCGCGGUAAUAAU